Long non-coding RNA from Cavia porcellus (domestic guinea pig), 1056 nucleotides. RefSeq lists it as uncharacterized. NCBI's taxonomy places the organism in Eukaryota, Metazoa, Chordata, Mammalia, Rodentia, Caviidae. The record is from RefSeq and is a predicted model, not a curated record. The transcript has 3 exons.
UAUCAGUCAUGCAAAUGAGGCUGAAUUCAUUUUCCACAACAGAUGGCCUCAUAGAUAAUGAUGAUGGAAGAGAGAAAAUUGAAUGUCUCUCACAAGGUGGCCAUGGCAACCGAGAGCAGAAUAAUAUCAAUAAUAAGCUCACUGCAUAAUAAGGUUGUCAGUCCUACAAAUCAAAGUCUCCAGCUAAAUCAGGUACACCACCCCAGCUAGUUACCAGCCCGGGUCUCAGGAAGGCUCUUGUAACUAGCCAUAUUGAAACUGGGGAUGUGGCUGCGGGUGGAAGUCUUUUCUCCUUCCGCCCGCCGCCUCCUCCUCCUCCUCUCCCUCUCUGAUGUGGUGAGCUGCAUGGAUGCAGAGCUGCUCGCCCGAGGCUCCACCUUGGCUCCCAGGGGGACAUCCUGCGAAAUGAAUCAGCAGCCAUCCUGAGCAGGCUGAUUAAAAUUAAAAUGGCAAGGCACAUGUCUGGGCGGAACAGGAGCCCAGCUCUGCUGCCUGUCUGGCAAGCAUGCUCAAUAUAGCUCUUGCUAAUAAUGGCUUACUGCCUUGCGUUUUUUAAAAAGCAGGAACAGCGGUUGAUAAGCCCUGAGGUCGAGGUUGCCUGAGAACCGAGACAACAUCUUUACACCCCAGAUACCAUCAUUUCUAGCCCGAUUCCAGGCAGCAGACCUGGCUGGUGAGGGCUGUGCUGCUACAUUUCACGGCUCACAGUUGGACAAGCUGAAAUGCAGCUGGGGUAGAACCUAUUUCUGCUCCAAGCACUUGCAAACAGCCCUUCGCUGUAUCCCAGAUAUUAUGCAAUACAGAAUUAAAAUGGAAAAAAAUGAAGCCUACUGAUAUCAUAAUCCAACAAAAUUUAUUAAACAUAAAUCUUACAUUUUUUUCAAAAUUCUCAAGCAUGGUUUUCAUAUUAGCUUCCAAUAAAUUAAUACAUUUCAGUAUCUAUGCCACAUUUACAGGGUUUUAAAUCUAUUUUUAGGGCACCUUGGAAAUUGGACCGUUAUUUCUUGUCAUAAAUGAAAUAGGUUGAAAAUAAAAAGCAGGAUUUCUUUCAACCAA